Molecule: ribosomal RNA, 496 nt
Filed under: uncultured bacterium
Lineage: Bacteria
Description: partial 16S ribosomal RNA
Rfam family: Bacterial small subunit ribosomal RNA
Source: RNAcentral
AUGAACGCUGGCGGCGUGCCUCAUACCUGCAAGUCGAGCGAACAGAUAAGGAGCUUGCUCCUUUGACGUUAGCGGCGGACGGGUGAGUAACACGUGGGUAACCUACCUAUAAGACUGGGAUAACUUCGGGAAACCGGACCUAAUCCCGGAUAAUAUUUCGAACCGCAUGGUUCGAUAGUGAAAGAUGGUUUUGCUAUCACUUAUAGUUGGACCCGCGCCGUAUUAGCUAGUUGGUAAGGUAACGGCUUACCAAGGCGACGAUACGUAGCCGACCUGAGAGGGUGAUCGGCCACACUGGAACUGAGACACGGUCCAGACUCCUACGGGAGGCAGCAGUAGGGAAUCUUCCGCAAUGGGCGAAAGCCUGACGGAGCAACGCCGCGUGAGUGAUGAAGGUCUUCGGAUCGUAAAACUCUGUUAUUAGGGAAGAACAUACGUGUAAGUAACUGUGCACGUCUUGACGGUACCUAAUCAGAAAGCCACGGCUAACUACGUG